AUUGAACGCUGGCGGCAUGCCUUACACAUGCAAGUCGAACGGUAACAGGUUAAGCUGACGAGUGGCGAACGGGUGAGUAAUAUAUCGGAACGUGCCCAGUCGUGGGGGAUAACUGCUCGAAAGAGCAGCUAAUACCGCAUACGACCUGAGGGUGAAAGCGGGGGAUCGCAAGACCUCGCGCGAUUGGAGCGGCCGAUAUCAGAUUAGGUAGUUGGUGGGGUAAAGGCCCACCAAGCCAACGAUCUGUAGCUGGUCUGAGAGGACGACCAGCCACACUGGGACUGAGACACGGCCCAGACUCCUACGGGAGGCAGCAGUGGGGAAUUUUGGACAAUGGGCGAAAGCCUGAUUCAGCCAUGCCGCGUGCGGGAAGAAGGCCUUCGGGUUGUAAACCGCUUUUGUCAGGGAAGAAAAGGUUCUGGUUAAUACCUGGGACUCAUGACGGUACCUGAAGAAUAAGCACCGGCUAACUACGUGCCAGCAGCCGCAGUAA
RNAcentral lists this ribosomal RNA (493 nucleotides) under uncultured bacterium. Its description in RNAcentral is "partial 16S ribosomal RNA". It matches the Rfam family "Bacterial small subunit ribosomal RNA", at positions 30 to 523 of the family's 1533-position model. The record is from RNAcentral.